AAAUACAUAUCAGGGUGUGAAAUUACGAGAGAGCAUUACUUCUGCAAUUCUGCUUAUGCUAUGCAAUCUUCAUCCUUAAAGAGCCAACAGCACAAAAUAAGGUAGCCUUGAAGAAGUGCGUAACGAAAUGAACUACCAUUUCUUGAAUGUAAAAAUUUUGAAAGUUCAAAAUAAAUACACCAAAAUAAAAAAGAAAGAAAAAGAAAAAAAAAAGUAAAUGUAUAAUCACAAAAGGGGUUCAGAAAGCUCCAUUUCAUU
Molecule: unclassified non-coding RNA, 258 nt
Filed under: Hevea brasiliensis (rubber tree)
Lineage: Eukaryota; Viridiplantae; Streptophyta; Magnoliopsida; Malpighiales; Euphorbiaceae
Source: RNAcentral